Molecule: long non-coding RNA, 559 nt
Filed under: Brassica napus (rape)
Lineage: Eukaryota; Viridiplantae; Streptophyta; Magnoliopsida; Brassicales; Brassicaceae
Description: long non-coding RNA (BNAP_LNC015333)
Source: RNAcentral
UCCAUAUAUGAUCAUCAAAACGAAUACAAAUUCUUGCAAAAAUAGGAAAAGAAAGAGUGAUGUUUUUUUUUUGUUCAAAGAAAGAGUGAUGUUUAAACAAAGCUUUCCACAAAUUAUACAAGAAACAAACAACUGUUUUUCAUACUAUAUAGUUUUAAAGUUUUUAUUUCAUUUAUAAACAAAACAAUUAACGGCAACGGGAGCACGACAAGUAUGAUAAUGUCGGGAAGAAAAGUUAAACGGCAAAUCUCCAAAAUAGCACAUUUCUAAGUUUAUAUCACAAAAAUAGCACUCAAAAACUAAAAUGACCAAAAUAGUACUUUUCUAAUUUUAUCUUUUGAAAAUUUUAAUUUUUUUAUUUUUCAAAAUUUGAAAUCUUAACCCCAAAACCUCAUUUCUAAACUCUAAACCCUAAACCCUAAACCCUAAACCCUAAACUCUAAACCGUAAACACUAAACUCUAAACCCUAAACCCUAAACUCUAAACCCUAAACCCUAAAAUUUAAACCGUAAACCCUAAACCCUAAACCCUAAACCCUAAAUCCUAAACCCCACCAUU